This is a non-coding RNA of Lolium perenne, 646 nucleotides long. The record is from RefSeq and is a predicted model, not a curated record. NCBI's taxonomy places the organism in Eukaryota, Viridiplantae, Streptophyta, Magnoliopsida, Poales, Poaceae.
UACGAUUAAGAAAAACACAUCGCUAGCUUAAGGAGCGAUUGCAUCUUAUCCGGUCACUACCUUAUCCUCUCGCAAGCUCCAUCACACAUUCUACCUCCCUCUCUCUGAAACCACCACGAAAAUAGCACCGCACCGGGAAGCGAAGAGAGGAGGAGGAUGCCGCCGCCGAGAACACAACAGCGCGGGAGACGGUCGCCGCCGAGCACGCAGCUGUCGGGGAGGCCGUCCGCCACCGAGGAGGCGAGGACGCAGCACCGGGGGAGGUCGCCGCCGUGUGAGGACGCAGCGGAGAUGCAUGCCGACGAGCGCAUGGAGCCAAGCGUGCGAGGAGGCGGCACAUUUCGAAGUUUUCCGUCGGUGAAAACUCCGGCGAGGAGGUGGUGGUCGUCGUCCAGCAGCAAGCGGGGAGGUGCCGCGCCGAGAGGUGGAGGAACCUGUGGGGAGGCGCAAGAGAAGAGGUCAUGGCCGGUGACUACGGGGACGCUCGCGCCAGCGAGCACAUGGAGCUACCGGACAAGAGGAAGAGAAUGGUUGUUCAUCUGCUUAUGAAAUAGGGACCUAUUUUUGCCAGGUUAAUUAGGUGCAAUUGUCUUGUAAUUGCCGGAUUAAUUAGUCCAGUUGCCAUAUUAGCUAUUCCUGGAUUUAA